This 562-nucleotide long non-coding RNA is filed under the name Physeter macrocephalus (sperm whale). Its description in RNAcentral is "Physeter catodon (sperm whale) lncRNA (ENSPCTG00005000784.1)". The record is from RNAcentral. Lineage: Eukaryota; Metazoa; Chordata; Mammalia; Artiodactyla; Physeteridae.
AGCGGAGGCCUGUCUGGAAGUCUCCCUGGAGCCCUGGCCGGACGGCGCCGGCCGACAGCGUCCCCCAGCCCGCGGUAUCGCGAUCCGCCCCUGCACCCCGGGAGCGCGGUCACGGCCGCCCGGGCCCCGGAAACUGCUCACGACGCCCCCGGGCGCUUACGGUCGUCUGCUCCUGGCUCCCGAGCUUGGCGGCAGCAGAGUCUGAGAAGCAUUAGUGUGGGUGAAAGUACGACCCAUUCAGAGGUCUUCAUCGCACUCGUAGAGGACGGACGUGAGGGCACGGAUGGGGCGAAGGAUGCAGUUUCAACACCCGGCAUCCUCAGGAUCACAGCCAGCAGACCAGAACCAGGGCCUGUUACAGGGAUACUAAACUUCUGACUGUCACCCUGCAUACAACUUCAGGAUAAAGUUCACCCCCUUGGCCUCCAAUCUUACUGCUCACCCUGGCCCAAGAACUCUCCAUUUCAAUGAAGAGAGGCUGUUCCUGGCUAACAAACACACUCAAUUCAAUCACAUCUCCAAACUGCUCCUGCAGCAUGCCUGGAAAGGAUGCUCUCCUACA